GUAGGGGGCGAGCGUUGUCCGGAUUUAUUGGGCGUAAAGAGCUCGUAGGCGGCUCAGUAAGUCGGGUGUGAAAACUCAGGGCUCAACCCUGAGACGCCACCUGAUACUGCUGUGGCUAGAGUCCGGUAGGGGAGCGUGGAAUUCCUGGUGUAGCGGUGAAAUGCGCAGAUAUCAGGAGGAACACCAGCGGCGAAGGCGGCGCUCUGGGCCGGAACUGACGCUGAGGAGCGAAAGCGUGGGGAGCAAA
Molecule: ribosomal RNA, 247 nt
Filed under: uncultured bacterium
Lineage: Bacteria
Description: partial 16S ribosomal RNA
Rfam family: Bacterial small subunit ribosomal RNA
Source: RNAcentral